RNAcentral lists this ribosomal RNA (354 nucleotides) under uncultured bacterium. RNAcentral's name for it is "partial 16S ribosomal RNA". It matches the Rfam family "Bacterial small subunit ribosomal RNA", at positions 338 to 708 of the family's 1533-position model. The record is from RNAcentral.
CCUACGGGUGGCUGCAGUGGGGAAUAUUGGGCAAUGGGGGGAACCCUGAUGCAGCGACGCCGCGUGGGUGAAGGAGUGCUUCGGCAUGUAAAGCCCUAUCGGCAGGGAAGAAGCAAGACGGUACCUGACUAAGAAGCCCAGGCUAACUACGUGCCAGCAGCCGCGGUAAUACGUAGGGGGCGAGCGUUAUCCGGAUUCACUGGGUGUAAAGGGAGCGUAGACGGGCAAGAAAGCCAGGGGUGAAAGCCCGGGGCCUAACCCCGGGACUGCCCUUGAAAUUGCAUGUCUGGAGUUCGGGAGGGGCAGGCGGAAUUCCUGGUGUAGCGGUGAAAUGCGUAGAUAUCAGGAGGAACA